Small nuclear RNA from Nycticebus coucang (slow loris), 107 nucleotides. NCBI's taxonomy places the organism in Eukaryota, Metazoa, Chordata, Mammalia, Primates, Lorisidae. The record is from RefSeq and is a predicted model, not a curated record.
GUGCUCCCUGCGGCAGCGCAUAUACUAAAACCGGGAGGGCAUGGAGAAGACCAGCAUGGCCCCCGCGCAAGGAUGAGACACAAGUUUGUGAAGCAUUCCAUAUUAAA